GGACGGACGCUGGCGGCGUGCUUAACACAUGCAAGUCGAACGGAAAGGCCCCAGCUUGCUGGGGUACUCGAGUGGCGAACGGGUGAGUAACACGUGGGUGAUCUGCCCUGCACUCUGGGAUAAGCCUGGGAAACUGGGUCUAAUACCGGAUAGGACCGUGCUUUAGUGUGUGCGGUGGAAAGUUUUUCGGUGCAGGAUGAGCCCGCGGCCUAUCAGCUUGUUGGUGGGGUAAUGGCCUACCAAGGCGGCGACGGGUAGCCGGCCUGAGAGGGUGUACGGCCACAUUGGGACUGAGACACGGCCCAGACUCCUACGGGAGGCAGCAGUGGGGAAUAUUGCACAAUGGGCGCAAGCCUGAUGCAGCGACGCCGCGUGGGGGAUGACGGCCUUCGGGUUGUAAACCCCUUUCGGCAGGGACGAAGCUUUCGUGACGGUACCUGCAUAAGAAGCACCGGCUAACUACGUG
Molecule: ribosomal RNA, 466 nt
Filed under: uncultured bacterium
Lineage: Bacteria
Description: partial 16S ribosomal RNA
Rfam family: Bacterial small subunit ribosomal RNA
Source: RNAcentral